UGUGGAAUAUUGGACAAUGGGCGCAAGCCUGAUCCAGCCAUGCCGCGUGGAUAAAGAAGGCCCUAGGGUUGUAAAGUCCUUUCGGUGGUGAAGAUAAUGACGGUAACCACAGAAGAAGCCCCGGCUAAUUUCGUGCCAGCAGCCGCGGUAAUACGAAAGGGGCUAGCGUUGUUCGGAAUUACUGGGCGUAAAGCGCACGUAGGCGGCCUUGUAAGAUGGGGGUGAAAUCCCUGGGCUCAACCCAGGAACUGCCUUCAUGACUGCAAAGCUCGAGGAUGUGAGAGGUUGGCGGAAUUCCGAGUGUAGAGGUGAAAUUCGUAGAUAUUCGGAAGAACACCAGUGGCGAAGGCGGCCAACUGGCACAUUUCUGACGCUGAGGUGCGAAAGCGUGGGGAGCAAACAGGAUUAGAUACCCCUGUAGUCCCUGAGCGGGCUGGCAAGGCG
This 444-nucleotide ribosomal RNA is filed under the name uncultured bacterium. RNAcentral describes it as "bacterial SSU rRNA". It matches the Rfam family "Bacterial small subunit ribosomal RNA", at positions 355 to 822 of the family's 1533-position model. The record is from RNAcentral.